ACUUUAACCAGACGAUGGAAAAUAUUGCAGGAAAAUUUUUUAAUUUGCUCCCUCUCAGUCGUCAAUGGGAUUUCAUUUCGCGAUCGCUGGUUUAAUGUACGUGCGUGUGUAGAGCAAUUUAUAAAGAAUGGAAAAAUGUAAAAUUAAUUAAUUUCAAGUGUUGUGAACGUAAGAAAAUAUUUGUGCAGAAAAAAAAAAUUAAAAGUAGGAUUUCAUUAUGUAAUGGAACAAGGGCGCACCACUGAACAGUGUUGCAUGGAACAGAAAUUAAUUUCUUUAUUUUUUUUAUGAAGUUUGAGAUAAAAUGUUAUUAUGAACUUUGUGUGAGACGACAAAAAGUUGGAAUGCAUCUUAAUUAUACAGCCAACACACAAUGUUAAAAUAAUAAUUUCCAGUGAAGUUUUGUCGUGAUAACAACUCUUCAUUCUGAAAAGAAAGGAGUAAAGUUCGCCGUAACAAUAAGAUUUUUUUCGACCGAUUCAAAAAUGUGAAUCCACUCACCAUUUUCAUUUUAUGUGUCAGUGAUUCUUACGAGUGACAUGAAUGUAUAAAAUGCAAUAUUGUGGAGGCAGCCGAACGUACAUUUUAUUGUCAAGUGUAUUAUCUAGACGACCCGACGACGGACUGUAUUUACAUUUUAUGUUGCUAUAGAACUUGUAUUUUUGUUACUUGCGUGGGAAAUUUAGACUGUUUAUCAGUGAAUCACAAUUUUAAAUGCUAAAUGGUAUAAUGUGCAUCGUAUCAAUCAUAUCAGUAAUCAGUGGUUACUAAAACUUGUCAAAUUCCUAACAGAAUCAAAUUAAUGAGAUCACGUUGAUAAGAAAGAAAGAAAUCAAUCGAUACUGUAAACAGGUGUAAAAUAUGGACGAUUACCUCGACGAGCACAUCAGACAUGGCACUACCAUCAAAGUGUGUGUUGUGAAAUAACUAAAUGUAAACUUUAUCGAAGGAGAAAUGAAAAAUAAAAAUCCAUUUUUAUGAUAAGUAAAGUCAGACAUUUAACAUAUAUUCUCCUUGUGAAUUGUGGAUAAACAAAAAAAUAAAAAAGAAACAAAAACUGAAAGUGGCGGUGUUCCUAGAAAGAAACUGAGAAAAACCAGAUGAAGAAAAUAAAAUGCUACUGUUGCUAUACGUGUGGAAGUUAUACGUCUCGACUUCCUUCCUACAGUUGCUGGCGCAUAAUUUAUAAAUCCAAAGAUGGCUUCUUCAAGUUAGCAAUGUAAACAUCAACAAGUAAACUAAAAAUUGAGUUAAAAAUUAAAAGAGAAAACAAUCUGAAAACCGGUGAGCCAGUGCUUUUGCUCUAUAAAUGGAACGAAAAAGAUCGGUGAGACGACGGCAAAAGAAACCAUUUGCAGAACGAGCAAAGGAGCACUGUAGACAAUUCACAGCAUUUAUGUUCAGCAACGUUGGAAUCAUUAUAUUGGUUGUUCUUUAUAUGCUUGCCGGCGCUUCAAUGUUCAAACUCAUAGAGGAAGAAACAGCAAACGAUAAAUGGGCCGAUAUGAGUAGAAAUCGAAAUACAUUCGCAUAUCAACUGUGGAACUUAUCGAGUGUUCAGUUAAACGGCAAGGACAGAUCCACUUUCGACUACGAAUUCAAUAAAACAUUGGUCAAUUAUCAAAAACAAAUUGUCGAUGCAGUACGUGGUGGUUGGCCGGGCAACGACGAACGAGUUCAAUGGGGUCUCGAAAGGGCGUUUUUAUACUCACUUACCGUCAUAACGACAAUAGGAUAUGGAAAUAUUUGUACUCGUACAGAAAUUGGUAAAGUGGCAACAAUUGUUUAUGCGAUGAUAGGAAUGCCGUUGUUCCUGUUAUAUUUGUCAAAUAUCGGUGACAUUCUGGCUAAGUCGUUUAAAUGGAUUUAUGCUAAAGUAUUUUUGUGUCGAAUAUGCCCAGGUGUUGCUAAACGGCGUGCAUUGCGUGAACGGAGGAAAAUACGUGCUCUCGCCCAAAACAAUAUUAAUGAAAGAGACUAUCACAUUGAGGAGGCACUCGAAAAUAUCUCAACUAUUAGCAGUAUUUCUCAACGAUCUGAUGAAGACCUUGAAGAUGAUAUUGUUGAAGACAUCGAGGGCGCAACUAAUACUGUUACAGUUCCUAUUACAAUAUGUUUAAUGAUAAUGACAGGAUACAUUCUGAUGGGCUCUCUAAUUUUUUGCAUGUGGGAAGGAUGGGACUUUUUCGAUGGAUGCUACUUUUGUUUCAUAUCGCUGAGCAGCAUUGGAUUCGGCGAUAUUGUUCCAGGUAAAAAGGUUUGUGUUAAGCCAAAAUUCUGACAAGUUCGAGUGGCGGUUUAUAGUGUGCGCCAUAUAUCUUCUGCUCGGAAUGGCACUGAUAGCCAUGUGCUUUAAUUUGAUGCAGGAACAAGUUAUUUACAAAAUAAGAGCCGUUAAACGUAGCAUACGUCGAUGUUUCCGCUGCGACAGGUGAUGUGACAUCAUAAUGUAAGGCUGGCUUAAUUCCCGAAAUGAUGCCAAUCAUUUUUGCCUCAAUCCAACGAAAAAUAGCAAAAUUGUUUGUCAUUUAACGUAACACUUUAAUGGCAAUGGAAAUUAUGGGCUGCUCAAGGGCGAAACUCACUCUACGGUGACGGUGAUGGACAUUGGUGUGCCAGCAUAAUGAUGAUGGCGAUGGUGAGAAAAUAGUUACGAGAAUAGUGUAAACUAGUUGACUCAGAGCCCGUGCCGGCUUCAUCGUCUCUCAUAGGGCCGAGGGUGGGGAUUUAUGUAAAAUUGGUAGAUUUUGGAUAAAAAACAUUUGUUCAACGACUUUUGUUAUUGAUAGCUAUAGAAGAACUAGAAGAACCGGAGUAGCCCUAGUGCAUAUCUCAGUCGUCGCACAUCGUGGUCAAAAACCGAGUUGAUGUCAAUAUGAUGGUGUAUCUGAAAUCAACAAUCACAUUGAAAACAACAAUUUUUAUUGGAUGCAUGACAUGCCAAAUUUCGAGCGCGCCCAUCGUUCCAACAAAAAUUAUAUUUCUCCAUUCAAUUCAUUUCCAUUCUUUAUUGUGCUCCAGUAACGCCAAUUUUGAAUUGCUACAAUGUGUUGCUACACCGGGACCACCUUAGGACCAUUGCAGCGUUCAGCAUCAAAAGUCUUAUGUCAAAAGUCUUCCACUCAACAAAAAGUACUCAGUGAGAGAGCGAACUGUCAAGUAAACAAAGCAAAAAUCGAAAAAACUAAAUUUUGUCUCUCUACUUUUUCGGUAAGUGGAAUUUAAGCAUUAGGGCAAAAUAUAACAAUAUUACACAAGUCUUCAUCCUGACCCUGUGAUAGACGAUGAAGCCCGUCGGCUCAAUGGCACUACAGUGCUUAUAGAAACUGAAAAUUCGAGUUUGAAUUUCGAAUUUAUUCUGUUAGCAUAUAUUGUGUAGUGGCAAGGCAUCAAACAUGGUACGGCUGGAUUAAAUCACCCAGUCAUUUGCUAGUGAUAUGAAUUACAAGUAAAUGUGUAACGGAGCAUCACGCAACGUUACACAGGAACGUCUCUCUUUCGGUUAUUAAAAGCGGUACGAAGUUAAUAUACUCACCAGCACAAAAUAUAUAUAUCGUGAAAAUGUGCCAUUAGUUUCUACCUGGUUUAACGGUAUAUGGUAUGGUUAUAUACACACUAUUGGUGGCUGUUCAAUUUUACUUAACAUUACAAGUCAAGCAAUAAAUUAGUUUAAUGAA
Molecule: unclassified non-coding RNA, 3677 nt
Organism: Bradysia coprophila
Lineage: Eukaryota; Metazoa; Arthropoda; Insecta; Diptera; Sciaridae
Source: RefSeq, a predicted model, not a curated record